This 341-nucleotide long non-coding RNA is filed under the name Amphimedon queenslandica. Its description in RNAcentral is "uncharacterized LOC109585680". The record is from RNAcentral. Lineage: Eukaryota; Metazoa; Porifera; Demospongiae; Haplosclerida; Niphatidae.
AACCACAAGAGUAGACUGAGACUCAUGAUCAUCAACUGAUUCAACAAGAGACUGGCCUAAAGUUCACUUUGUAAACUGUUGUUCCUUUUUAGCAGGCUUGUUCACAAAGGACAUAGUGAAGCUUUUAGACAUUGCAACUGACAAGAAAAAAACACUGAAAUAGCACUAAAUAAUGAAAUGAUUAUGCUUUCUAGUGUUGCUGUGGUGGCCCACUGUGAUUGGCACCAAAGUCUUACCACCUCCUCCUUUAUUUAGUCUCUCUUCAUCACCUUGUUAUCAGCCUGCCAUUUAUGCAUUCAUAGUUAUAAGAUUUUCAUAAAAAAUUGAAAUUAUAAUUGCAA